Haemorhous mexicanus (house finch) is the source of this 3808-nucleotide long non-coding RNA. RefSeq lists it as uncharacterized. The transcript is spliced from 6 exons. The record is from RefSeq and is a predicted model, not a curated record. NCBI's taxonomy places the organism in Eukaryota, Metazoa, Chordata, Aves, Passeriformes, Fringillidae.
CCCCUGAGAACUGUGUUGUAGUUGCUUGAACGCCUCUUUAACUUUCUGCAAGACCUAACAAAAAGGAGUGCGGUGCCAACUCAUUAGCCGAACACUGUUUUAAAAGACGAUAAACAGUCACGUAGCAAAAAAAGGAUUUGGGCUGAGAGUGAAAAGCAGUCACCUUCCCGUCGGAGAGCGGAUGCACAUCAGAAAUCAGGCGGGAGAGAAAUACCUAACAGCGCUGGCCAUAAUGUGAUUAUACUUAAGGAAUCCAAAACAAAGUUAAUCUGAUCAACAGGGAUCAAUAGAAAAGUACACAAGCUGAAGGAAAUCUCAGCAGGACUUUGUGCCCAUGUGAGCUGGCUACCUCUGGAAGAGAAACACCAACCAGUUCUUCAGCCUCUCUCUACUUGGUGCCUUUGCCUGAAAAGCUGGCAGUGGACUGGGCUGCAGAAGGCCCUUCUGUGAAAUUUUGGGACUGAGGAAUGCUUAAGACAAUAUAGGACUGGUCCACCACCCUGAGUCACAGGUAGCUGGUUCAUCAGGCUUGUGAAAAUGCACUCUGCAGUAGACCACCUACUGUCAGUCACCUUUAAUUUGUUGGAGCUUCUAGGAAGGAAUAAAUGGGCAAAAUCAGGCUUAUUGUGGAUUCACAACUCUAAUCAUGAUGACUGCAGUCAUUAUAAGGAGAUUUUUGAAGCCCCAGAUGUAUGAAAUCAGGCAGAGCCAUGGCAUUCUGGCACCUUUUAAAGAAGUCAGAGAUGCGCUCUAUUUGUUGUGGUUCAGCUGCAGACACCAAUCAAGCCCCACGUAGCCCCUUGCCCACUGCCCUACCACUGGGGUUGGGGAGAGAGUUGGAAAGGUAAAAGGUAGAAGACUUGUGGGUCAAGAUAAAGAUGAUUUAAUAAAGAAGGGAAAAGUUGCACAUGUAAGCAAAGCAAGAAAAUUAAUUCACCACUUCCCACAGCAAGCAAGUGCUCAGGCUGCUCCAGGAAAGCAGGACCACACGUAACAGUGACUUGGGAAGACAAACGCCAUCACUCCGAACAUCCCCCCACAAGAGGAAGGGAUCAUCUGCAGUGCAAGACUGUGGAGGAAGAGGAGAAGGAAAGAUAAGAAGGGACACUGGAGACCUUGGUAUGAGCAGAAGUGGAGGUUACAGAUGAGGAUGUGCAGGAAGAAGGCAGACGUCUAAGCAGAGAGAAGGAGUAGAGACAGGAUUCAGGGGAGAAAUAAAUAGAAAAAGCAAUUUUAUAUUAUUCCCUAUCCAAAACCUGUCAUGGAAACUGCAUUUGCUAACCUCUACCUUUCAUAUGUCAUUGAACAGGCUUGAAACCCACUGGUUAAGCUGUGCAUCAUAUCUAUUUAUUAAUGAUUAAUCAAUAUAUUCAGUUUGCUAUCAUCAGAACUUCUGCUGUUAGCUCAGUUGGAGAGGUAUUUGAUGCUGUGAUUCCAAAAGGCCAAUCCCUAAUUGUGGUCUCAGUAAUAAUAAUGCUGGUGUAGAUUAAAACAGCAGAUGUUUAAUUUCAAAAAAUUUAACAUCUGUGUGAAAAGAGCACCAAGACUGUGAAGUCAAAACCAGAGGUGCCCGAAACUCCGGAGUGUAAACACACCCAUAUGGUCGCACUUUUGUCUGUUUUCUGCGAUAAUUAUUCUGCAGACUUUAAUGACAAGCACAGAAGAGGUGAGACAGGACAGGACAGGGUGACUCAGUCCUGCUGACUGCCAAAGGUGUCUUCUCUGAGGGUGAACUGGGUUUGUGUUCCUGUUGCCUGCAGCAUCUGUGCCUCAUGUAUUGCAACAAACAGGGCAGGGGGAUGCAGAGGAAAAUGGGCAUCGCCUUGCAGCCAGAGAAUGAGAAUGUCUCUGCCUCUACCAGAGAUCUGUACAAAGACUGGCAUGUCUGCUCAUUCCAGCUGACCAAAAAUCCUGUUUUUCUCACACUCUCUUGUUACCUACACAGGACUUUGAAGCCAGAUUCAUGCCAGUGUGGAAUUGUUACUUCUGGAAACUGAAGAAAAUCUGGCUGUUCUCACCUUAGACAGUUUUGGACACUGAGGGAAAAAGCCAAAACCAAACAGCACUCCAAACAAACAAACAAAAACACCACCAAAAAAAGGAACAAAGAAAAAAUAAAAGUUUGAUUUAAAUCUCUCAAGUGAGCUUAUUAGAUCCUUUUGGCUAUUUUUGUGUGACAUUUUUCACCUGUGAAAAAAUGGUAUAAAUUUUUAGCAAAGAAUUGUAAGUAAUUACUGCUCAUGAACACAGCUCAUGAAGGAAGAAAUUGCUCUGCAUAUAGCGUGUAUUUGCUUGCUUUUGCUAGUAUAGUGCAAGGACCUGGGCACAGAGAAAAUGAUUAAUUCAAUGUGACUAUAUCAAUUCAAUAAUUGGGCAUUUAGUCUAAGUUCAUGUCAACACAAUGAUCUAAUGAUUAAUCCUAUUCCAAGCAGACACUUAUACAGAACAAACCACCCUCUGUGCUUGCUGGGCUGUCUGUCACUGGUUACUGAGGAAGCAGGGAUGACUAGUUCAGGUCACAUACCAAAGUUUAGGAGCCAGUGGAGUGAGUGAAUGUCACUAAAUACUGUGAACGAGUACACAUGAUUUGGGAACUGGACAAACUGGUUUUUGUCUAAAACCUUUCAAAUUUAAUUUUUACAGAGAUUUCUGUGAGUAAAAGCCCAAGAAACCCAGACCAUUGUGCUGGGUAAUAUAGCAGGAGGAAUUGCUCUCUGGUGCAAUUAAAAACUAAGUAAUGAAAAAGGUGGAAAUAAGAAAAUGGUUUUCUAGUCAUAUAGAACUUCUGUAAAUAAGAUCAAAGUGUUUCAGCUGUUUGACUGCCAGGAUAAGGUGAGCAUGUGAGGCCUACAUUCUAAAAAAACAUUCCAUCAUAGAUUUUUAAACUAUUAGAAAUGAUAAGUUUAUAUUGUUUGCUGAUGUUAAAGCAUAGAAAAAAAAAAAAUCAGUGUAUUAGCUCCUGUGUUUCAUUACACAAGGUAUGUUACGUAUGAACUGAAUCUCAUGUCUGGUGAUGGACAAAGUCUGUUUGUGUCUAAUGCUGUUCCCUGGAGAAAUUGUUCAAGAGCUGUUCAUCCUUGUGGAAAGAUUACUCUGAUAUCAGUGUGACUUUUCUGCUAUGUAAGUGCCAGUUGAGUUGUAAAGCUUCUCCAGGGCAUUUUAUCAGGUGCUCUUACUCAGCAUCAAUGGUCUCUAUGAGAAGAGAAACAGCUGAGAAAGAAGGCUUGGUUCUUCUGGUUAAAAUAAAUGGAUCUGGCAAAUGCCUUUUCAAUCCUAUAUUUAUUUUUUUUAUCACUAAUUUAAUAUUUUUAAUCUGAUGCAAAGUAUCUCCACCCCUCUGCUGUCACAGAGAUAUUGAAACCUAUAGAAUUUCUAUUUUACUUAUUUUGUUCUCUCCAUUAAUGCUGAGUAUUACUUCAGAGGAAAGAAAAAAGAUGUGCUAAAAGAUGUGGAUCUCCAUUUAAAGAACUGGUUUUCUUGAGCUUAUGCCAAGAGCUUCAUCUUGGAAAUUCUUCAGAUUCUGUCCUUGGACAGAUUUAUAUAUGGGAUUUUCACAUAUGUUUCAGUGAGAGUUUCGCACUUUUAUCUUACAGAAGAAUUUGACCUCUGGGGUGUACCUCUCUUGGGACUAGUUUAGGAAUAUUAGCUGCACUAUAUCCUGAAAAUAUUUCAUGCCCAUUGCUGCCUGAGUGAGAGUAAUUCAGAUACCACUUUGUAAGACAUUGAAAGCGGAUCUUGUAAUCCUUUUGAAAUCUUUCCUUUUUUGAUGUCUGUUUGUUAAUAAAAUUGGAAACAAAAUGCACAAAAA